Molecule: ribosomal RNA, 482 nt
Filed under: uncultured bacterium
Lineage: Bacteria
Description: partial 16S ribosomal RNA
Rfam family: Bacterial small subunit ribosomal RNA
Source: RNAcentral
AUUGAACGCUGGCGGCAUGCUUUACACAUGCAAGUCGAACGGUAACAGGCCGCAAGGUGCUGACGAGUGGCGAACGGGUGAGUAAUGCAUCGGAACGUGCCCAGUCGUGGGGGAUAACUACUCGAAAGAGUAGCUAAUACCGCAUACGAUCUAUGGAUGAAAGCGGGGGACCGUAAGGCCUCGCGCGAUUGGAGCGGCCGAUGUCAGAUUAGGUAGUUGGUGGGGUAAAGGCUCACCAAGCCAACGAUCUGCAGCUGGUCUGAGAGGACGACCAGCCACACUGGGACUGAGACACGGCCCAGACUCCUACGGGAGGCAGCAGUGGGGAAUUUUGGACAAUGGGCGCAAGCCUGAUCCAGCAAUGCCGCGUGCAGGAAGAAGGCCUUCAGGUUGUAAACUGCUUUUGUACGGAACGAAACGGCUCUGGUUAAUACCCGGGGCUAAUGACGGUACCGUAAGAAUAAGCACCGGCUAACUACGUG